CCGCAUGAUUAAAGGUAUUUUCCGGUAGACGAUGGGGAUGCGUUCCAUUAGAUAGUAGGCGGGGUAACGGCCCACCUAGUCAACGAUGGAUAGGGGUUCUGAGAGGAAGGUCCCCCACAUUGGAACUGAGACACGGUCCAAACUCCUACGGGAGGCAGCAGUGAGGAAUAUUGGUCAAUGGGCGAUGGCCUGAACCAGCCAAGUAGCGUGAAGGAUGACUGCCCUAUGGGUUGUAAACUUCUUUUAUAAAGGAAUAAAGUCGGGUAUGCAUACCCGUUUGCAUGUACUUUAUGAAUAAGGAUCGGCUAACUCCGUGCCAGCAGCCGCGGUAAUACGGAGGAUCCGAGCGUUAUCCGGAUUUAUUGGGUUUAAAGGGAGCGUAGAUGGAUGUUUAAGUCAGUUGUGAAAGUUUGCGGCUCAACCGUAAAAUUGCAGUUGAUACUGGAUGUCUUGAGUGCAGUUGAGGCAGGCGGAAUUCGUGGUGUAGCGGUGAAAUGCUUAGAUAUCACGAAGAACUCCGAUUGCGAAGGCAGCCUGCUAAGCUGCAACUGACAUUGAGGCUCGAAAGUGUGGGUAUCAAACAGGAUUAGAUACCCUGGUAGUCCACACGGUAAACGAUGAAUACUCGCUGUUUGCGAUAUACGGCAAGCGGCCAAGCGAAAGCGUUAAGUAUUCCACCUGGGGAGUACGCCGGCAACGGUGAAACUCAAAGGAAUUGACGGGGG
RNAcentral lists this ribosomal RNA (725 nucleotides) under uncultured bacterium. RNAcentral's name for it is "bacterial SSU rRNA". It matches the Rfam family "Bacterial small subunit ribosomal RNA", at positions 193 to 919 of the family's 1533-position model. The record is from RNAcentral.